GCGGCGUAGGCGCGGGCUGUAAGCUCCGUUUCCGGCUUGGGCUCGGGGACUGGUGAAGGGGCUGUCGGCGCCAUGUCCGGCCGCGAAGGUGGCAAAAAGAAGCCCCUGAAACAGCCCAAGAAGCAGGCCAAGGAGAUGGAUGAGGAGGACAAGGCUUUCAAGCAGAAACAGAAAGAGGAGCAGAAGAAACUCGAGGAGCUGAAAGCCAAGGCCGCGGGGAAGGGGCCCCUGGCCACAGGUGGAAUUAAGAAAUCUGGCAAAAAGUAAGCUGUUCCUCGUGUCUGAGGUGAUGAUGGUGACCCUCUUCCAUUCCUAUUUAAACAUCUGGAUCCCCUGCCAUAACAUCUUUGCCACCUACAGCUAGAAUGAAGUGUUAUCCUGGAGCCUAUUGUACAUUGUAAUAAACUUUUGUAGUAAAACAAAUACAAUGGCUCAUUGUCUCUAGUGUUCAGCAAUUCCUACCUCAGCUCUGAAUGGAAAGAAAACCCAGGCCAGAGCCUGCUGUUUCAUCUUUGUUGUACUUGGAAUUCUGUAUCACUUUGAAUUAAACCAGCCCAUUUAAAAGGCUCUCA
Psammomys obesus (fat sand rat) is the source of this 572-nucleotide long non-coding RNA. RefSeq lists it as uncharacterized. The record is from RefSeq and is a predicted model, not a curated record. The transcript is spliced from 4 exons. NCBI's taxonomy places the organism in Eukaryota, Metazoa, Chordata, Mammalia, Rodentia, Muridae.